UAUGAGCCUUUCUAGGCAGCUUUGUUAGGCUUGACUACAUAAUGAGUGCUGAAAUAAGUGAUACACACUAAUGCACAAAAAAAUUAGUUUGGGAAAGAUUGGGAAAAUUCAUAAAUGUUUUCUGAAUAAAUUGUAACUUACAUAUUGUAAGUCUGGGAAUAUCAUGAUCACCUUUGUGUUUUAGAAAUGUAAUAUGGCCACAAUAUGAAAGACAGACUAGAAUGAAAGGAAUGGUGGAAAAGGAAAUGAGGGGAUUGAUGCAGUUAAUCCGUAUUUUUAACUGAAAAGAGCUAUAUGGUAGUUUUGUACAUAGGUUAUAGUAUAUAGCCUUGAAUAUUCUAACUGAAACCAUAAACUGAUUCCUGUAUUUAUAAGCUGCCAUUAUGUGAUAUGAUAACGUUUACUGGCCAAUAUUUUCAUUAAAACUAUUUGGUAGUGCUAGCCAAAGACAGUCAACAAAUACUAGUCUAGAAAGAUAUUUCUCUUUGGAUAAAUAUGUGAGGGAGACAAUAUAAAACAAAAGUUCACAUGGAACAUACAUUAAUAAAAUACUGCAGAAGCAAAAAAAAGUGAAUCAUUCAAAAAUGAAAAGGGUACAAGACAAAAAUAAAAGUUAAAGAAAAACCAAAUGCAUGAGAGAUUAUCUCAGUGGAUUUGACUUAAUCUCUUGAACCACUUUCUAAAAAGAGUUUUAGUUGGCUAGUUGCAGAAAAGAAAAUCAGAGUUUCAAAGCUUUAAGGGGAUUCAAUGUGCCACUGAUGACUUGUAGAUGGAGGGGUACAUAUGAAAAGGGCUUCAGAGUGGCCUCCAGGAGUUAGGAGCAACCACCAGUCAACAGCCAGCCAGAAACAGAGGUCUUGGUCAUCUAAGCACAAGAAAUUGUAUUCUGCCAACAAGAAGAUUUAGCUGACCAUGAGAAUGAUUUUUUUCCUAGAGCUUCCAGAUGAGGACUCAGUCAUCAGACACCCAGAUUAUAGCCCUGUGGUACCCUAGUUAAAGAACUAAGCUAUUCCAUGUCAGAGUUUUGACCAACAGUACUAUAGGCUAAUAAAUAGGUGUGACUGUAGGCUGUUAAGUUUGUGUCCAUUUGCUAUGAAGCAAUAGAAAACAGGCAGCAUGCUCUGUUUUUUCUACUCUUGCAUCACCUUGGUCUUUCUGUUCUCCUCCAUUCAUUAAUAAAUUGCUUCUGGUUCCUCUAGGUACUAGGCUGUGGGUAGGGGAAGGUAGGAAGGUUGAGAAGAAAGUUGGGGUGUUUUUAAAAUGACUUAAGUUCAGCUGUCUUCCGAGUUCAUGGGAAAAUAAGCCAUUCUUUUUCUGCCAAACGGUGGUAUUAAGGCUUGCAGGAUGAAAUAUUUUGCUUCUGACUUCUCCAGCUGAGAAGCAGGCAUAAUUUUCUGUGAUUAUUAAUAUUGCAAACUCUAGAAAAUGCAAGCUAGCCUUCCCAGAAAUUUUCUCACUGUUCUACACUCCAAUUGCCCUAAGGGAAAUAGAGGGUGAAGACUGUCUUUCCUUCUCAGAGGCACUCCCAAUUUCUAUGCGUGAUUCUCUUGGGUCACCCUCAUGUCACCAGGGAAUGAAAUAUUCCCCAUCUUACUCCAUGCAGAAAGGAGGAGAAAAGCCAGGACAUGUUCUGUAUUCCUAUGUAUUCCCAUUAACCACUAGCUUUCUCUUACAUAUGUUCAUUAGGGGAUGAACAAGAAUAUUGGAAAGAUUGGUAAAAUCUUGUAGGGACAUUUCUAGAUGAUUUCUAUGAUUGUUUGGGAUAUUUGCAAUCUGUCCUUAGUUUUGAUUCCUCUGUGAAUUGAGGUAAAAUUCCCAUUUAAAAUCCUGUUGCAAAUUCUACUUUGCGAAAGUAAAAACCACCACCCUGUGCUCUAUGAAAGUUCCUUUCUUGCCUACUGAUAAUAGUUUGGUUCUCUCGAGUUAAAAUAUAGCUUUAUUUUCAGAUAUUUAAAAUAUCUGCUUUUUAUUUUCUAAAAAUCACUCUAACUACUUGGUGGAGAGUAGACUGCAGGAGGAUGAAAUUGGACCCUGCAAUACAGAUACACUUGAGGUAAUCUAGACCUUCC
RNAcentral lists this long non-coding RNA (2069 nucleotides) under Homo sapiens (human). RNAcentral's name for it is "HSALNT0008862". Lineage: Eukaryota; Metazoa; Chordata; Mammalia; Primates; Hominidae. The record is from RNAcentral.